Molecule: long non-coding RNA, 915 nt
Organism: Tympanuchus pallidicinctus (lesser prairie-chicken)
Lineage: Eukaryota; Metazoa; Chordata; Aves; Galliformes; Phasianidae
Exons: 3
Source: RefSeq, a predicted model, not a curated record
UGCAUCUGCAGUAAAUAAAUAGUGGUGGGGCUUGCCAAAGUGGAUGAAUAUUUGAGAGAGUUGCACACUGCACCAGCCAAUGAAAUGUGAUGCUGAAUCAGUUAGGGAAAUUUCAGGGAUUUCAUAGCAACGGAACUGAAUGAUGAAUGUCUUCUCAGUGGAAGCUGACAGAUGUUACAGCUCUUGUUUCCUGCUUUUGUUCUUUCUAGUUUGCUCCCAGAAUGUUUAUUCUAACAAGCAGCCUGAUGCCCGCUGGGGACAGAAGGCACUGCUGUCUGCUCAGAUUUGGCUGCAGCCCAGGCUGUUUUAGGAAGGACCAUCAGGAGAAGGCUCACAAGAGCCAGCCAGGCAGGAUGGCCAUUCACUGAGACGAAGGCUCAAGUCAUGCCCCCAGGGAUUACAAGAGAUGGAGACUGAGAUUGACUUGUUUUUCUCUUCUGGAGCAAGUCUUUGGGGGGGAUUUUGCUUUUCAGAGGAACUUCUGCUAUGUGGAGAAAGAUUAGAAGGGAAACCAGCUUUCAGGCAUAGACUUGAACUUGGACAGCCCAGGAUGAAAAACACAACAUGACCAGGCUCUUGCCACCGUAAAUGCAGUCCUGCUGUACAACAGUGGCUUUGUGCCUGAAGAAGAGCUGAUCCUGCUGUCAUUUCAGAGUGGGAAGGGUGAGACACUGUCAAGAAAACUUCUGCUGAGCAUCCUCACUGCUGUCAGACAGAGAUACAAUUUCUCUUUAGGUGCUUUUGCUGAGUGAAAGAUUCACAUCAACAUUGGCUGCCCUCUCAUUUUCUUUUAAUGAUGCAAUAAAUUAGAAAAUGAUAAGGCACCAAGGGGAACAUUUGAAAUUCCAGUGGCAUUUCUAGGAAUGGCCUGAAAUGCUCCAAGUUUCUUGCAGCCUGCUGGCCAGCUUGCAGGAG